Molecule: transfer RNA, 87 nt
Filed under: Rhodobacterales bacterium HKCCE4037
Lineage: Bacteria; Pseudomonadati; Pseudomonadota; Alphaproteobacteria; Rhodobacterales
Description: tRNA-Leu
Rfam family: tRNA
About the family: Transfer RNA (tRNA) molecules are approximately 80 nucleotides in length. Their secondary structure includes four short double-helical elements and three loops (D, anti-codon, and T loops).
Source: RNAcentral
GCGGGCGUGAUGGAAUUGGUAGACAUAUCGGACUUAAAAUCCGUGGGGCCCCGGCCCGUGUGGGUUCGAGUCCCACCGCCCGCACCA